Eucalyptus grandis is the source of this 1866-nucleotide RNA transcript. It is a transcript of the gene named protein-S-isoprenylcysteine O-methyltransferase A, with no coding region annotated. The transcript has 4 exons. NCBI's taxonomy places the organism in Eukaryota, Viridiplantae, Streptophyta, Magnoliopsida, Myrtales, Myrtaceae. The record is from RefSeq and is a predicted model, not a curated record.
UUCCAUCUUCUCUCCGCCGUCUGAAAUCCUUCUCUUCCAUUGCAGCUCCCAACCUCUGUCGGCCUUUCUUGCCUCCAGCCCUUUCCUUUUUCUUGGAGCCUCGGAAGGUUUCUUGGCGUGAAUCCGUGUUGAAGUUUGCACCUUUUUGGGCGUUGUCGAGCUCUGGUCAUGUCAAGUUCCUCGCUUUCAAUGGUAAGAUGUCAAUGAUGGAAUGUCUUUGAGAGGAUCUUGGAUGUCUUUUGUCAGUUUCAAGGUUCAGCCCAGCAUCACUUCCAGGUCUGAAGUUAUCCAGGAAGAUUACUAAUCCCAUAGCUGAAUCCUCUGGUCCCAGAGGACUACAUUGAAGACUGUAAAUCGAUGCACCUUGAUUGACCAAAUAAUGGCAGAGAUAUAUAGUUACACAGCCUGCAGACAGUUGUCCCAAUUACUCUUGUCAAUUAUCUUCUUUCAUGGGUCUGAGUAUAUCCUUGCAGCGGCCUUUCAUGGACGAUCAAAUGUAACUCUUAAAUCCCUCUUGAUCAGCCGAAAUUAUCUUCUUGCAAUGUUCUUUUCGCUGGUGGAGUAUUUUGUUGAAGUUUCUCUAUUUCCAUCCUGGAAAGAAUGCUGGUGGAUCAGCAAUUUCGGCUUAGCCCUGAUUGUAGUUGGGGAGAUCAUUAGGAAGAUGGCAAUUAUAACUGCUGGGCGGGCAUUUACGCAUUUGAUCAAAAUCUAUCAUGAGGAUGAUCACAAGCUGAUAACUCACGGAAUCUAUCAGUUUAUUCGUCAUCCUGGAUAUUGCGGAUUUUUCAUCUGGUCGGUCGGGACUCAAAUAAUGCUGUGCAAUCCCGUGUCUAUGUUUGCAUUCGCAGCAGUUGCUUGGCAUUUCUUUGCAAAACGGAUACCAUAUGAAGAGUUUUUUCUGAGACAGUUCUUUGGGCGACAGUAUGAGAAAUAUGCCCAAACUGUCCCCUCAGGGGUUCCAUUUGUGAAGUGAGUUCUACAUCUCAAGUUCUUGGGACAGAGUGUAGCAUCCUAUACAGCUACUUGGAUUGGAUCCAACAAUGUUGAGGCUUCUAUAUGUUAGAUGAAACUCUUUGAACCCUCCAGGUUAAGCUUGUCAUGGGGUGGCCAACGAUCUUUGAUUAUUGGAGCAUCUGAGAACUCUUUCAACCAUGCAAAUAGAGGUGGAAACCUCUCACCAUCAACCACUUUGAGGCUGGAUAUCUCCUCAAAGACCCCAAAGUGGAGUGACCAACCAUCCAAGCGCAAUGUCCAGAUAUCCGAUGUUGCAUCCACCAGAGAAUUUCUUCCCUUCAAGUUGUUCUUCCAGCUUCUGCAGAAUCGCGCCAUGGUCCUUGCAUAAGGAUCCUGUGGGAGAAGCGGGCAUCGGUUCCAUGUCUCGUGUCGACGGUGCUUGAGAAUUACCAGGGACUUCGAAAUUGCUGUCCCUUUGUAAAGAAGCACCGGUACCUUCUUAUAAGUGGGCUAUGAUGAAGAAGGAGGUCGCUUUUGUCGGAGAGAUCUUCCAGGACGGAUUUGUAUCGAACGCCCUUGAGCUGCAGUGCCCAGAUGACCCUCAAAGCACAUGCGCUCGACCAUGCCUUGAGCAGUGUCACCUCCUCAGCCGUGUGGUUGGCUUGAUCGUAUGAUUCACUUCAACCUUCCAAGGAAACCUAUAAACAAAACACGCCUUCCUUCGCUUACCUGGUCUUGCGACGUAUCUCUUCUUUUCCCGAUUCUCUGCAUGGGAACCACCUGAAUGUCUAGCUUUGUAUUUUUAUGACUUUCGUGGAUGCCUUGAUAUUAUAUUAAUGUCACCUAGAGUUUGUACAGAAAUGUAGUAGGGAGAUCAUAAUUUAUGAACUUGAAGACCCAUUUUUGUACUCA